CCUACGGGGGGCAGCAGUGAGGAAUAUUGGUCAAUGGGCGCGAGCCUGAACCAGCCAAGUCGCGUGAGGGAUGACGGUCCUACGGAUUGUAAACCUCUUUUGCCGGGGAGCAAGCGUGCGUUCGUGAACGCGCGUCGAGAGUACCCGGAGAAAAAGCAUCGGCUAACUCCGUGCCAGCAGCCGCGGUAAUACGGAGGAUGCGAGCGUUAUCCGGAUUUAUUGGGUGUAAAGGGGGCGCAGACGGCGAUGCAAGCCAGGAGUGAAAGCCCGGGGCCCAACCCCGGGACUGCUCUUGGAACUGCGUGGCUAGAGUGCAGGAGGGGCAGGCGGAAUUCCUGGUGUAGCGGUGAAAUGCGUAGAUAUCAGGAGGAACACCGGUGGCGAAGGCGGCCUGCUGGACUGCAACUGACGUUGAGGCCCGAAAGCGUGGGGAGCAAACAGGAUUAGAUACCCCAGUAGUC
RNAcentral lists this ribosomal RNA (461 nucleotides) under uncultured bacterium. RNAcentral's name for it is "partial 16S ribosomal RNA". It matches the Rfam family "Bacterial small subunit ribosomal RNA", at positions 338 to 795 of the family's 1533-position model. The record is from RNAcentral.